This 335-nucleotide ribosomal RNA is filed under the name Sesamia calamistis. RNAcentral's name for it is "partial 16S large subunit ribosomal RNA". Lineage: Eukaryota; Metazoa; Arthropoda; Insecta; Lepidoptera; Noctuidae. The record is from RNAcentral.
CUGUCUCUUAAUUAUAUUUAGAAUUUAAUUUUUUAAUUAAAAAGUUAAAAUGAAUUAAAAAGACGAGAAGACCCUAUAGAGUUUUAUAAUUAAAUUAAUUGAGAUUUUUUGUAAGAUUAAAAUUAAAAUUAAUUUAUUUAUUUUGUUGGGGUGACAGAAAAAUAUGGAGAACUUUUUUUAUAAUAUUACAUAAAUAAGUGGUUAAAUGAUCCAAUAUUAUUGAUUAUAAGAAAAAAUUACCUUAGGGAUAACAGCGUAAUUUUUUUUUUUAGUUCAUAUAAAAAAAAAAGUUUGCGACCUCGAUGUUGGAUUAAGAUAAAAUUUAAAUGCAGAAG